This 396-nucleotide ribosomal RNA is filed under the name uncultured bacterium. RNAcentral's name for it is "partial 16S ribosomal RNA". It matches the Rfam family "Bacterial small subunit ribosomal RNA", at positions 523 to 918 of the family's 1533-position model. The record is from RNAcentral.
AUACGAAGGGUGCAAGCGUUAAUCGGAAUUACUGGGCGUAAAGCGCGCGUAGGUGGUUUUGUAAGUUGGAGGUGAAAGCCCCGGGCUCAACCUGGGAAUUGCCUCCAAAACUGCAUGACUAGAGUACGGUAGAGGGUAGUGGAAUUUCCUGUGUAGCGGUGAAAUGCGUAGAUAUAGGAAGGAACACCAGUGGCGAAGGCGACUCCCUGGCCUGAUACUGACACUGAGGUGCGAAAGCGUGGGGAGCAAACAGAAUUAGAUACCCUGUUAGUCCACGCCGUAAACGAUGUCAACUAGCCGUUGGGAUCCUUGAGAUCUUAGUGGCGCAGCUAACGCAUUAAGUUGACCGCCUGGGGAGUACGGCCGCAAGGUUAAAACUCAAAUGAAUUGACGGGG